UGACCUCAAAUCAGGUAGGAUUACCCGCUGAACUUAAGCAUA
RNAcentral lists this ribosomal RNA (42 nucleotides) under Laricifomes officinalis. RNAcentral describes it as "Fomitopsis officinalis partial 28S ribosomal RNA". The record is from RNAcentral. RNAcentral also lists the same sequence under 1 other name. Lineage: Eukaryota; Fungi; Basidiomycota; Agaricomycetes; Polyporales; Laricifomitaceae.